Molecule: ribosomal RNA, 253 nt
Filed under: uncultured bacterium
Lineage: Bacteria
Description: partial 16S ribosomal RNA
Rfam family: Bacterial small subunit ribosomal RNA
Source: RNAcentral
UACGAGUGGUGCAAGCGUUAUUCGGAAUCAUUGGGCGUAAAGGGUGUGUAGACGGUAUGCUAAGUCAGUUGUUUAAUUCUCCGGCCUAACCGGAGGCCAGCAGCAGAAACUGGUAUGCUAGAGGGUGGAAGAGAGGAGUGGAAUUCUCGGAGUAGCGGUAAAAUGCGUAGAUCUCGAGAGGAACACCAAUGGCGAAGGCAGCUUCUUGGUCCAUACCUGACGUUGAAACACGAAAGCGUGGGGAGCAAACAGG